GCCAGCCGUUUCGUGGCAUCGUGUCCCCGGGGGAGUCGGAGUCUCUGCAUGCACGCUGGGCGGCCGCGCGGAGGUCUUGCGCGCGAGCCGCUCGACGCGGCCACCAGCGACGGUGCAGUCAGCACGGACGCCCUCGCGAUCUGUUGCUUGCGCCGUUGCGCGGCGACUCUCUCUGCUGUUGGUUCUUUUCCAUAGGUUGAUCUGUAUCCUUUCCGAAGAUGAACCUGACUUCCUAUGAAUCAUGGUUAUCCUAUCCGCAUAGUAUAGAUCAUCGGACAUGCUGCAUGCAUGCCUUUAGCUCUGAAAAGUGCAGAUGACGAUCGCUGAGAAAGCAGUCAGUUAACAGGGCUUAAUUUUGAUAUGAUACCUAACAUUGUAGCAGUGAUAAUCAAAGAUUUCAUGAUUACCGAAGACCCACAAGAUAUGGACAACCAUGGAUUAACUUGAUGAUUUGCUCCACUUGGUUUCUUCACACAAAGCAUCCAAGAAUCGAUCGGCCUCAGUGAUUACGUAAAGAACACGAAGCAUGGAGAAGGUUUUGUUUUCUAGUUGUACUUUGCCUAUUCACGUCAUUUGGAUUAGAACUCCAGGUACUACUACUGCUUUAUAGAUGUUGUUUGACAGUCUACAUAGUAUAACUCGAAGUAUAUGGAUUCUCAAAUGAUUCUAGUGGGCAGUG
This is a long non-coding RNA of Oryza brachyantha (malo sina), 679 nucleotides long. RefSeq lists it as uncharacterized. The record is from RefSeq and is a predicted model, not a curated record. Lineage: Eukaryota; Viridiplantae; Streptophyta; Magnoliopsida; Poales; Poaceae. The transcript is spliced from 3 exons.